RNAcentral lists this ribosomal RNA (380 nucleotides) under Salmonella enterica subsp. enterica serovar Durham. RNAcentral's name for it is "partial 23S ribosomal RNA". It matches the Rfam family "Bacterial large subunit ribosomal RNA", at positions 2563 to 2925 of the family's 2925-position model. Lineage: Bacteria; Pseudomonadati; Pseudomonadota; Gammaproteobacteria; Enterobacterales; Enterobacteriaceae. The record is from RNAcentral.
UCCCAAGGGUAUGGCUGUUCGCCAUUUAAAGUGGUACGCGAGCUGGGUUUAGAACGUCGUGAGACAGUUCGGUCCCUAUCUGCCGUGGGCGCUGGAGAACUGAGGGGGGCUGCUCCUAGUACGAGAGGACCGGAGUGGACGCAUCACUGGUGUUCGGGUUGUCAUGCCAAUGGCACUGCCCGGUAGCUAAAUGCGGAAGAGAUAAGUGCUGAAAGCAUCUAAGCACGAAACUUGCCCCGAGAUGAGUUCUCCCUGAGACUUAGAGUCUCCUGAAGGAACGUUGAAGACGACGACGUUGAUAGGCCGGGUGUGUAAGCGCAGCGAUGCGUUGAGCUAACCGGUACUAAUGAACCGUGAGGCUUAACCUUACAACGCCGAAG